GAAGGAUGAGCAAUACGUGUUACAUACUCUAUAUUGCUUUAUUUACAGUUCAAAGCUGGUAUAUUACAGAAAGACAUCUUGCCUCUGCAAGAGCAGAAAAAUGCAUCCUCUCUCCUCAACAGCUCGGAGAGAAUCACACAGUGAAAAACAGGAAACCAGUGUACGUCACAUCCAGUCUCCCUUUCCCGUGAGAAACUCCAACAGUACAGACUGUGGAAUGUAAACACCUGUCUUGUGACUGCAGUUGCUGCACAGUGAAGGAAAGCAGAAACCAACAUCCUCCCCUUUCUGUGAACAUCACUGGGCAGCGUGUUUGUACAAUAUCAGUACAAACCCAACUUCUGCACAUAGGUACAGUGUUGAUCCCUUGAUACAAUCUUGGACAAUACAUCAGCAGGAAUUUCAUUACCUGGCAUAUAGGACACCGUUACGAGUCCCUUCUGAAUACAUUCCCUAGCAUGCUGCAACUUUAAUUGCAAGUGCUUUGUGCUUUGCUUACAACCUUCAGACUUCAGCAAAGCCAAACAUGCUUUGUUGUCCUGGUAAACCUGGAUUGGACAUUUGACAGGAAUUUUCAUAUCUUUGCACAAUUGUACUAACCAUUCACAAUCCUUAAGUGAAUAAGACAGUGCAUUCAGUUCGGCUUCACAAGUACUUAAGCUAACUGUUGUUUGCUUCUUGCAUGACCAAUCAAACAGACUCUGAUUGUACAUGUAGCAAACUCCAGACGUACUUUUCCUGUCUGUAGCGUCACUUCCAAAACUUGCAUCUGCAAAUAUCUCAAGACCACUAGACUUCUGAUUGUUAAAUCUCAGUCUGUAAUGCAUAGUGCCUUUCAAAUACCGCGCUAUGCGUUUCAGAGCUUUCCAAUCCUUGACACUAGGAUUGUUGACUUGUCUGCUUAGCAAAUUACAGCUAACAGCAAUGUCUGGUCUUGAACAUCUGGCAAUGAAGUUUAGCUUGCCUAGCACACUCCUGUACAGUGUAGUGUCAGAAAAUGCUUCUUCAGUGUCAUCUACCUGAUAACCUGUUGUCAUCGGUGUGUCUACAGGGUUAGCAUCCAUCAGAUUUAGUUUGCUUAACACAUCAGCAAUUUUCCGUGACUGGUGUACUAGAAUGUUACCAUCUUGAUCUCUCUCUAUUUCCAGAGAUAGGUAGUUGUUUACCUCACCAAGAUCUUUCAUGUCAAAGUGCUCUUUCAGUUGAGCUAGGGCGCUAUUGUACAUUGCAACAUCUUUCCAAAAGAAUAAUAAAUCAUCAACAUAAAACAAACAGUACAGUUUCUUUUGCCCCUCCUCUUUGACAAAUACACAUGGAUCAGCUUUCCCUUGCUGAAAACCUAGAGAAAACAAUACUUCAGUGAGUUUUGUGUGCCAACACCGUGCACUUUGUUUGAGACCAUAAAGGGAUUUCUUCAGAGCACAAACAAAUCCCUGUUUUACCUGUACGCCAUCAGGUGGAAGCAUAUAAAGUGAUUCAUCUAGAGAUCCGUACAGAAAAGCUGUAUUAAUAUCAUGGUGACUAAUGUGUAGAUUUUCCUCUGCAGCUAGCUUAAGCAUAAGCCUAAUGCUUUCAUAUCUCACUGUGGGUGAAUAGGUCUCGUGAUAGUCUUCACCUGGUACCUGUGCAAAACCUCUGGCUACCAAUCUGGCUUUGUGUCUGACUAUCUUGCCAUUUUGAUCUGUCUUCGCUUUGAAGACCCAUUUGCUUCCAAGCAGUUUCAUUCCUGGAACUACUGGAACUAGCUCCCAUGUUUUGUUCCUUUCUAAGGAAUCAAGCUCAGCCUUCAUGGCAUUUAACCAUGGCUCAGCUUCCUUUGAAUCCAAACCCUGGAUUUCUUGGAAACUUGAAGGUUCAAAUACCUUCUUGGAGCUUUUAACAGCUGUUACUGCUAUCUUAGCAAACUCAUCAGCAAAUCUCUUUGGAGGUUUGCCUUUUGUGGCUCUCUGUGACCUACGAAUUAGCCUUAAGUCUUCAACACUCUCCUCUUCCUUCUUAGGAGAAAAACGACCUAUUGUGAACAAUGGUUCCUCCAAUUCUUGAUCAGAGCUUUCAGAGGGUCGCAUAGAGGCUUUCGCACUCUUGAAAUCCUCUGAAUCACCCGAUUCAGUUUCAGAUUCAGACUCAGAACCUUCAUCAGUGGGUGUGGGUUGUUGUGGUUGCUUUGACUAUCCUCAGUCUCAUCACCGUCAUCAGGAUAACAUUGGAAAAUUCCCACAUUCUCCCCCACUUUGCAUUGUACUCAACACUUCUCGUGAGCUUAAUUGUCUUAGAGUCAGUCAUCAUUAUUCUGUAAGACCCUUUCUGAUAACCUAGAAAGAUACCAUGCAAUCCACGCUUGUCUAACUUGGAGUUUUGUGGUGAGUGAACCCACAUGUCAGAACCAAAAAUCUUCAUGUGUUUGAUGUAUGGCUUCUUGCCAAACAUCUUCUCAUAGAGGUACAACCAAUCGCUGAAGAUAACCUGCGAUUGUAACUGUAAACAAAACACGAGAGAGAUUCGGCCCAAUAACUCUCUGGAAGAUUGGCAUCAUGCAGCAAGGUUUUUAACCCUUGAAGCAAAGUCUGAUUUGCCCGUUCCGCAAGUCCAUUCUGCCAUGGCGAGCGAGGACUAGACAAAUCGUGUUGAAUUCCUUUCUCAGUCAGAAAAGCUUCAAACUGCUGAGAAGUGAAUUCCCCGCGAUCACUGAAAAGAGUCUUUAUCUUCUUACCAUGCACAUUUUCCAACCAAGCACAGAAUUCCUUGAACCUAGGAAAAGCCUCCGAUUUCUGCUUGAGAUUGUACACAAAAAUAUAUCUAGAAAAUGCAUCAAUGAGAACCAUGAAGUAUCUAUUUCCACCCAAAGAGGGCGCUAGUGGUCCAACCAAAUCAGCAUGAACAACCUGGUAUGGUUCUGUAGCUGUCCUACUAGACACCUUACCUUUCGCAGCCAUUUUCACCUUGUUUGCUGCGCAUGCUUUGCACUUCAUGUGGUACCUGCAGGGUUUAAUAGUCAUACCUUCAACCAAGGCAGGCAUUUUAGAUACUGCCUCAAAAUGCAAAUGACCAAAUUUUCGAUGAAAAUCGUGAAUACAUUCUGCAUGCAAACUUUUGUUAGAACCUGCAAUGCAACAAGUGUCAUCCUGCACCACAUCAUCAUAAUACAAAACAAACAAAUGAUCAACAUAUUCUGCAUGCAAUACAUAAUCAUUUUUCUUUGUGAUGAUGCACUUCUUGUUCUUGAAGGAAACGUCAAUGUUCCGCUCAUUCAGCUGUCCAACGCUGAGCAGAUUAUGUUUGGCGUCUGGCACGUAAAGCACAUUCUGUAUCGAUAAGUCCAAACUGUGAAGAACAACAGUUCCGUAGCCUUUACUGGGAAUAGUGUGGUCAUCCGCCUGGUGAAUCGCACCUUCCUGCGGUGUAAAAGACACAAACAGUUUCUUAUCGUUGCACAUGUGGUGGGUGGCCGCUGAAUCAACAACGAAGAAAGAUCUAGACGUCUUCUGGACCUCUGCAACCUUUGGAGUGAAGCGUGAAACCAUAGCCUUGUGCUGCGUUGUCCUAGACACCGGACCUUUGCCUUUGCCUCGGCCUUUUCCGCGCGAUGAGCUUUCGCUGCGCUGCUCUGUCUUGGCCCUGGGAUGUCUGCAUUCCCUCUUCAUAUGGCCUAGACGUCCACACGAGUAGCAUUCCACUGCCUUCAUAGCUUUGGCGCCAUCUGGUGGUUCCACUGCACUAUGGGAUGACGUCUGUGAAGACUCCCCCUUGCCCAUGCAGCUAGCACCCCGGCGAUCUGCUUCAUUUAAAAUCACGGCAGUAACAAAGUCCACUGUCAGCUGAGCAGUUGGUUGCACAGCAAUCUGGGUUGCAACAGACUCCCAACCUGAACCCAAAGAUUGUAGUAUCAUGAAAGAAUACACAGCCUCUGGAAAGUUGAGUCCUCUCUGUUGCAGCUCAUGUCUCAGAUUUUGCAUCUGCAUCAGAUGUAAACGCACAUCUCCACCUUCAGCAAGAGCCAUAUUAUGCAGCUUGUUAAAAUAAAACAUAGUGGAUCCAGCUUCUGUCCUUAAGUGAGCCUCUCUCAGAGCGUCCCAAAUUUCUCUGGCUGAGGUCUUAUCACGCAAUAGACAGAGCUCUUCUGGGGAUACUAUCAAUGUAAGAGUUCCCCUUGCUUUGGAAUCCUUAGCUUCCCAUGCAUCUGUAACUGGAACUGGGGGGGUUCCUGUAAUCACCUCAAACAAACCCUCUUUCCGCAGAAUUGCCUCUGCAUACUGAACCCAGUCGGCGUAAUUUUUCUUGUUGAGCUUAGGAAUCCCACAAGCAUCCUGAAGGGCCAUCAUGACUCUGGCAUUAGCCUUCAGCGUCAUAUGCUGCUUUAAAUCUUGCUGCGUCACUGCUGCAGCUGCCUCAUUACAAAGGCACACUUAAAAGUUACUUUCGAUUUCCCCAGCAUAGUGACUUGUGCCUGGGAGCCUUUUGCCUAUUCCCGGCAAAACCGGCUUUAAAAGUUCAAAGUCCAGCCAUAAAGCCAUUAACUUGAAGCUGGCAGGCUGCCCGGAGCAGUAGCACAUACCUCAUCAAUCACUUCUACGCGCAGAGCAGAUUCCUUUCCGAUCCGUCCCUCUGCAUUCCGAUCCUUUGCCGGCACUCCGAUUCGACCUCUGGAGUCCAUAACCACGUGUUGAUUUAAAGCAGAGUCUCUGGUGCCCAGCGGAAGGAUGAGCAAUACGUGCUACAUACUCUAUAUUGCUUUAUUUACAGUUCAAAGCUGGUAUAUUACAGAAAGACAUCUUGCCUCUGCAAGAGCAGAAAAAUGCAUCCUCUCUCCUCAACAGCUCGGAGAGAAUCACACAGUGAAAAACAGGAAACCAGUGUACGUCACAUCCAGUCUCCCUUUCCCGUGAGAAACUCCAACAGUACAGACUGUGGAAUGUAAACACCUGUCUUGUGACUGCAGUUGCUGCACAGUGAAGGAAAGCAGAAACCAACA
Molecule: non-coding RNA, 4969 nt
Organism: Podarcis lilfordi (Lilford's wall lizard)
Lineage: Eukaryota; Metazoa; Chordata; Lepidosauria; Squamata; Lacertidae
Source: the annotation of a GenBank genome assembly